RNAcentral lists this transfer RNA (75 nucleotides) under Clostridiales bacterium. Its description in RNAcentral is "tRNA-Arg". It matches the Rfam family "tRNA". Rfam says of the family: Transfer RNA (tRNA) molecules are approximately 80 nucleotides in length. Their secondary structure includes four short double-helical elements and three loops (D, anti-codon, and T loops). Further hydrogen bonds mediate the characteristic L-shaped molecular structure. tRNAs have two regions of fundamental functional importance: the anti-codon, which is responsible for specific mRNA codon recognition, and the 3' end, to which the tRNAs corresponding amino acid is attached (by aminoacyl-tRNA synthetases). tRNAs cope with the degeneracy of the genetic code in two manners: having more than one tRNA (with a specific anti-codon) for a particular amino acid; and 'wobble' base-pairing, i.e. permitting non-standard base-pairing at the 3rd anti-codon position. Lineage: Bacteria; Bacillati; Bacillota; Clostridia; Eubacteriales. The record is from RNAcentral.
GCGCCCGUAGCUCAGCUUGGAUAGAGCGUCUGACUACGAAUCAGAAGGCCGGGGGUUCAAGUCCCUCCGGGCGCG